CGGGGGGGACAAGUGGGGACAGGAGAGGACAGCGCAGCCCCCAUGACCCCCCCUCGGCGGCGGAGGCCCCCGGCGGGCAGGAGGAAGCCAAGACCGGCGACCCCAAGAAGGAGGAGGAUGAGGAGGAGGAGAUCGACAUCG
This is a long non-coding RNA of Chiroxiphia lanceolata (lance-tailed manakin), 141 nucleotides long. RefSeq lists it as uncharacterized. The record is from RefSeq and is a predicted model, not a curated record. The transcript is spliced from 3 exons. NCBI's taxonomy places the organism in Eukaryota, Metazoa, Chordata, Aves, Passeriformes, Pipridae.